RNAcentral lists this ribosomal RNA (253 nucleotides) under uncultured bacterium. Its description in RNAcentral is "partial 16S ribosomal RNA". It matches the Rfam family "Bacterial small subunit ribosomal RNA", at positions 524 to 776 of the family's 1533-position model. The record is from RNAcentral.
GACGGAGGAUGCAAGUGUUAUCCGGAAUCACUGGGCGUAAAGCGUCUGUAGGUGGUUUAAUAAGUCAACUGUUAAAUCUUGAGGCUCAACCUCAAAAUCGCAGUCGAAACUAUUAGGCUAGAGUAUAGUAGGGGUAAAGGGAAUUUCCAGUGGAGCGGUGAAAUGCGUAGAGAUUGGAAAGAACACCGAGGGCGAAGGCACUUUACUGGGCUAUUACUAACACUCAGAGACGAAAGCUAGGGUAGCAAAUGGG